RNAcentral lists this ribosomal RNA (647 nucleotides) under uncultured bacterium. Its description in RNAcentral is "bacterial SSU rRNA". It matches the Rfam family "Bacterial small subunit ribosomal RNA", at positions 28 to 717 of the family's 1533-position model. The record is from RNAcentral.
AACGAACGCUGGCGGCAUGCCUAACACAUGCAAGUCGAACGGGACCUUCGGGUCUAGUGGCGGACGGGUGAGUAACGCGUGGGAACCUGCCCUUGGGUACGGAAUAACAGUUGGAAACGACUGCUAAUACCGUAUACGUCCUUUGGGAGAAAGAUUUAUCGCCCUUGGAGGGCCCGCGUGAGAUUAGGUAGUUGGUGGGGUAAUGGCCUACCAAGCCGACGAUCUCUAGCUGGUUUGAGAAGAUGAUCAGCCACACUGGGACUGAGACACGGCCCAGACUCCUACGGGAGGCAGCAGUGGGGAAUAUUGGACAAUGGGCGCAAGCCUGAUCCAGCAAUGCCGCGUGAGUGAAGAAGGCCCCUAGGGUUGUAAAGCUCUUUUACCCGGGAAAGAUAAUGACGGUACCGGGAGAAUAAGCCCCGGCUAACUCCGUGCCAGCACCGCGGUAAUACGGAGGGGGUCUAGCGUUUGUUCGGGAAUUUACUGGGCGUAAAGCGUACGUAGGCGGACAUGUAAGUUGGGGGUGAAUCCGGGGCUUAACCCGGAACGUUGCCUCAAAACUAUGUGUCUUGAGGCCGAGAGAGGUAAGGGGAAUUCCUAGUGUAGAGGUGAAAUUUCGUAGAUAUUUAGGAAGAACACCAGUGGCG